GGGGAUUUAGCUCAGUGGUAAGAGUGCUUGCCUAGCAAGCGCAAGGCCCUGGGUUCGGUCCCCAGCUCCA
This 70-nucleotide transfer RNA is filed under the name Rattus norvegicus (Norway rat). It matches the Rfam family "tRNA". Rfam says of the family: Transfer RNA (tRNA) molecules are approximately 80 nucleotides in length. The record is from Rfam by way of RNAcentral. Lineage: Eukaryota; Metazoa; Chordata; Mammalia; Rodentia; Muridae.